CGGGAAUAUGUAUAUGGACUAAUAUUGCCAAAGUCAGUUUGUCGCCGAGGUUUGCCAGACUUCCCUGACUAAUUCCAGCUAUGGCCCAUAGUUCAAUGUUUAUGGGGAUUCCUUUAUACGCGGAUGGACGGACAGACCGACAAACAUCAGAAAAGCGUAAAGCGGUGUUGCCACGUAAUAAUUGAGUGCAGCUUCAUAACUUGAAUGUAAGCAAGGAUCUGUACGCGAGCAAUGGAUACCAUGGGCUUCCGUUUUUUUACAACCACAACACCGAAAAAAUGUUUGAAAAUCCUGAAAAAAUCAAAACUCCGACUAGCCCAACCCGAAACCCGGCUCAACUAAAAAUUCCAGCUUUUUCACAAUUUUUUCUAAUAUUGGAAAGCAACAUCCUCCGCGGAAGAAAAUGAUGCCAUCUGGAAAAUUGCUUUUGGUGUUUAAACUCUCCACAAUUUUGGGCUGGCUGAUUAUUGCUGACCUCCACCCGGUUAAGGCGCUACUAGAUAUCGAGAUCCGCGAAGAUGACGAACUAUUGUGUACGACCGAUGCACACUGCGACAUAGAAGGAAUUGUUUGCGACUCAACGAAACAAGAGUUGUGCACUUAUAGUGAUCCCGAUACCAGUUACUGCGCGUGUCUUGAGGCGCAAUGCUACAGCAAUAAUGAAUGCAGGGAACGGAAUAUGACAUGUCCCACUCACACUGGUCCGGAUUGCUUUAUUUGUUUGCCAAAACCUCUAGCUCUCGAACCAUUUAUUUUUUUCGAGUUCUGCCUGCGGGGAUCGAGAUAUGAAGUUCCAAGGGGUAUAAGCUAUGCAACCCUCAUUGAAGCCACACCCCUUUGGGGGUGUGGUCACAGGUGAAUAUUUAUUUUCUUGCAUUACCCCAUCAAGUGGGGUGUCAUUUGAAAGGUCUAAUCAAGCUCUAAACAACUCCGACCAUUAUUGGGACAUUAUCGGCACACCCACAGCCAGGGGUGUGGUCAAAAUGCAAAUUUGAAAGUUUUGUUUCGAUAAUUUUGAGAAUGUUUUUUCAUAAAAUGACAAUAUUCUAUAAUUUUAUGAAGUAUUUCUGCCCCCUAACUUAGUUAACAAUGAAAAUAGGACCAAAAUUAUAAAUUUAGUUAUGCCUCCUCAGGGGGUCACCACUUCAUAAAAUCCCCCCGCUCGUAAUAAUUUUUUUAGAGGGGUGUGUUUAAAUAAACAAUAAAAUUCGAACUUAGUAUUGUUUUAACUACCUGAAAUUCGAAUUUUUCUGUCACAACUUCCUGAUGGGAUAUCUAGAGCAUCCCACCCGAUUCCAAGAAGCCCUCAUAGGCGUAUGUAGUACUCGAUGGGAUGAGUCAAACCCCCUCAAAUACAUUUGCCCAUGUCUGCCCGUUAGGCCAUGGGGUGUGGUCGAAACAGCCCCAGAACGCCUGUUUGAUGACCUUCAAACACAUGAACCAGCCGAACCAUGAGGGCGAAAAUUCUGAAAUUUGGCAGGUAACAUCAAAUAUAGUUGGUUAACAAUAUUCUGGGGUCAGUCUCAACUUCCCCCCACAGGGGGGGGUGGUUCGCCCCCCUGGGGGUGUGACCUCACAAAAAAAAUUAGACGCAUUCCUUGGGUCACCCUGGUCAAGAAUAUAUAUAUAUAUGAUAGGAUUUGCGCCUUACAAAUUUUGAACAAAAAAAUUACCAUUUUGGAGUCCGUAAAUUCGGCACAAUUUAUGCAGAAUUUUGACAACAUUACAAAAUUUGCAAUCAAUUCGUAACCUAUAUAAUUCAUCCGGGGAUUCUGCACGUUGGUGCGUUAGUGCACCGAUUCCCCCAAUUGUUUCAUACCCUUUGGCAUUACGGACUGUUCGAAAACAACGGUGCUAAAAAGCUAGUUUACUUGAUGUGUUCCGUUUUAAUUAGUAUCAAUCAAUGCUAAAAACUUCAUUCACAGAUGGACAAACAGGGGUUCAAAAAGACGUAAGUGGAGCCACUGUUUAAUUUGUUUAAGAUAUGUUUAAGAGAUGUAUGCAAGUGCAAAAUAAAUAAAAAAACUAGCAACAAAACGUAUGUGCAAUUGUAAAAUUAUUCAUAACGCGGUAAUGAAAUGUUGAUAAUUAUACUGCAAACAGAAAUUGAAUUUAUUGAACCCCACUGGCUAUGUAGUAAUGACGAAAUUAAAAAAAAACCCUCGGGUCAAUUUUAUACCAUCCAACGAAAAUUUGGUUUAUUCCAACCAAAAUUAAUAAUUUGGCCAAUAAUGCAAUGGGCAACGGGUUUAAUUUUUGUGUCCAACGAAAAUGUGAAAGCAUCCGACCAAAUUUUACAUAUCAUAUUAGUCUACU
RNA transcript from Folsomia candida, 2316 nucleotides. RefSeq lists it as uncharacterized. The record is from RefSeq and is a predicted model, not a curated record. NCBI's taxonomy places the organism in Eukaryota, Metazoa, Arthropoda, Collembola, Entomobryomorpha, Isotomidae. The transcript has 5 exons.